UUUAAAUGGCCGCAGUAUACUAACUGUGCAAAGGUAGCAUAAUCAUUAGUCUUUUAAUUGGAGGCUGGUAUGAAUGGUUGGACGAGGCAUUAACUGUUUCAUUUAAAUUUAGGAUAAAAUUUUAUUUUUUAGUCAAAAAGCUAAAAUUUAAUUAAAAGACGAGAAGACCCUAUAAAUCUUUAUAUAUAAAUUAUUUGAAUUUUGUAGAUUUAUUUUAUUACAAUAAUUAAUUAUAUUUUAUUGGGGUGAUAUUAAAAUUUAAUAAACUUUUAAUUUUAAGUAUCAUUAAUUAAUGAAUAAUUGAUCCGUUAUUAACGAUUAAAAAUAUAAGUUACUUUAGGGAUAACAGCGUAAUUUUUUUGGAGAGUUCAUAUCGAUAAAAAAGAUUGCGACCUCGAUGUUGGAUUAAGAUAUAAUUUUAGGUGUAGUCGCUUAAAUUUUGAGUCU
RNAcentral lists this ribosomal RNA (447 nucleotides) under Engelimyia inops. RNAcentral describes it as "partial 16S ribosomal RNA". It matches the Rfam family "Bacterial large subunit ribosomal RNA", at positions 1922 to 2578 of the family's 2925-position model. Lineage: Eukaryota; Metazoa; Arthropoda; Insecta; Diptera; Sarcophagidae. The record is from RNAcentral.